GACGAACGCUGGCGGCGUGCUUAACACAUGCAAGUCGAGCGGUAAGGCCCUUUCGGGGUACGACGAGCGGCGAACGGGUAGAGUAACAACGUGGGUGGACCUCGCCCUCCAGCUCUGGGAGUAAAGCCUCGGGAAACCGGGGUACGUAAUAACCGGAUAUGACUCCAUGACGCAUGUUGUGGGGUGGAAAGCCUUGUGCGGCUGAGGAUGGGCCCGGCGGCCUAUCAGCUUGUUGGUGGGGUGAUGGCCUA
RNAcentral lists this ribosomal RNA (251 nucleotides) under uncultured bacterium. RNAcentral's name for it is "partial 16S ribosomal RNA". It matches the Rfam family "Bacterial small subunit ribosomal RNA", at positions 28 to 267 of the family's 1533-position model. The record is from RNAcentral.